CCUACGGGGGGCAGCAGUGAGGAAUAUUGGGCAAUGGGCGCAAGCCUGACCCAGCAAAGCCGCGUGAAGGAAGAAGGCUUUCGGGUUGUAAACCUCUUUUGACAGGGAAGAGUAGAAGACGGUACCUGUCGAAUAAGCCACGGCUAACUACGUGCCAGCAGCCGCGGUAAUACGUAGGUGGCAAGCGUUGUCCGGAUUUACUGGGUGUAAAGGGCGUGUAGCCGGGUUGACAAGUCAGAUGUGAAAUCCUUCGGCUUAACCGCAGAACUGCAUUUGAAACUGUUGAUCUUGAGUGCUGGAGAGGCAGACGGAAUUCCUGGUGUAGCGGUGAAAUGCGUAGAUAUUAGGAGGAACACCAGUGGCGAAGGCAGGCGGCUGGACAGCAACUGACGGUGAGGCGCGAAAGCGUGGGGAGCAAACAGGAUUAGAUACCCGAGUAGUC
RNAcentral lists this ribosomal RNA (442 nucleotides) under uncultured bacterium. RNAcentral describes it as "partial 16S ribosomal RNA". It matches the Rfam family "Bacterial small subunit ribosomal RNA", at positions 338 to 795 of the family's 1533-position model. The record is from RNAcentral.